CUAAUAAUACAGGGAACUUUUUUCAUAAAAGGGAACAAAAAGCAAACUGUAAUGUGAUAUGACUUGCAAAAACUUAAUAAAAAGCUACUUGCACAAAGCAAUAGAGAGGAGUACACAUACCUGAACAGACAUUAAGGACACAAGUAUGUGUAUGUGUGUGUUUGUGUGUGUGUGUGUGUGUGUGUGUUAUAUGUGUCUAAUUUUACAUAUGGAACAAAAAUAUAUGAAACUACCUGAGUAUAUAGCCAUAACACCAUCAUUACUGUACGCAAAUCUCAGGAACUUGUUUUGCACAGGAAAUUAAAUCAAAAUAAUUACAUUAUCUAAUGCAAGAGUAUAAA
Carassius carassius (crucian carp) is the source of this 341-nucleotide long non-coding RNA. RefSeq lists it as uncharacterized. The transcript has 2 exons. Lineage: Eukaryota; Metazoa; Chordata; Actinopteri; Cypriniformes; Cyprinidae. The record is from RefSeq and is a predicted model, not a curated record.